CAUGUAGGCGGCAUAACAAGUCUGGUGUGAAAUAUCUCGGCUCAACCGAGGGAACGCAUUGGAAACUGUUAAGCUUGAGUAUCGGAGGGGAAGCUAGAAUUCCUGGUGUAGGGGUGAAAUCUGUAGAUAUCAGGAAGAAUACCGGUGGCGAAGGCGAGCUUCUGGCCAGAUACUGACGCUGAGAUGCGAAAGCGUGGGGAGCGAACAGGAUUAGAUACCCUGGUAGUC
This 228-nucleotide ribosomal RNA is filed under the name uncultured bacterium. RNAcentral's name for it is "partial 16S ribosomal RNA". It matches the Rfam family "Bacterial small subunit ribosomal RNA", at positions 568 to 795 of the family's 1533-position model. The record is from RNAcentral.